UGGGGAAUAUUGCGCAAUGGGGGAAACCCUGACGCAGCGACGCCGCGUGAGCGAAGAAGGCCUUAGGGUUGUAAAGCUCUGUUCUAUGGGACGAAGUCCUUGACUGUAAAUAAUGGUCAAGGUUGACGGUACCAUAGGAGGAAGCCCCGGCUAACUACGUGCCAGCAGCCGCGGUAAGACGUAGGGGGCGAGCGUUGUCCGGAAUUACUGGGCGUAAAGAGCACGUAGGCGGGACCUUAAGUCAGGUGUGAAAGACCGGGGCCUAACCCCGGGGUGGCACUUGAAACUGGGGUUCUUGAGGGCAGGAGAGGACAGUAGAAUUCCUGGUGUAGCGGUGAAAUGCGUAGAAAUCAGGAGGAAUACCAGUGGCGAAGGCGACUGUCUGGACUGACCCUGACGCUGAGGUGCGAAAGCGUGGGUAGCAAACAGG
This 430-nucleotide ribosomal RNA is filed under the name uncultured bacterium. RNAcentral's name for it is "bacterial SSU rRNA". It matches the Rfam family "Bacterial small subunit ribosomal RNA", at positions 355 to 776 of the family's 1533-position model. The record is from RNAcentral.